GGGUCGUUAGCUCAGUUGGUAGAGCAGGGGACUUUUAAUCCCAAGGUCAUGGGUUCAACUCCCAUACGGCCCACCA
RNAcentral lists this transfer RNA (76 nucleotides) under Atopobium sp. Its description in RNAcentral is "tRNA-Lys". It matches the Rfam family "tRNA". From Rfam's summary of the family: Transfer RNA (tRNA) molecules are approximately 80 nucleotides in length. Their secondary structure includes four short double-helical elements and three loops (D, anti-codon, and T loops). RNAcentral also lists the same sequence under 3 other names. The record is from RNAcentral. Lineage: Bacteria; Bacillati; Actinomycetota; Coriobacteriia; Coriobacteriales; Atopobiaceae.